RNAcentral lists this ribosomal RNA (439 nucleotides) under uncultured bacterium. RNAcentral describes it as "partial 16S ribosomal RNA". It matches the Rfam family "Bacterial small subunit ribosomal RNA", at positions 338 to 794 of the family's 1533-position model. The record is from RNAcentral.
CCUACGGGAGGCAGCAGUAGGGAAUAUUGCUCAAUGGGGGAAACCCUGAAGCAGCAACGCCGCGUGGAGGAUGAAGGUUUUCGGAUUGUAAACUCCUUUUGUUAGAGAAGAUAAUGACGGUAUCUAACGAAUAAGCACCGGCUAACUCCGUGCCAGCAGCCGCGGUAAUACGGAGGGUGCAAGCGUUACUCGGAAUCACUGGGCGUAAGGAGCGCGUAGGCGGGAUAGCAAGUCAGAUGUGAAAUCCUAUGGCUUAACCAUAGAACUGCAUUUGAAACUGUUAUUCUAGAGUAUGGGAGAGGUAGGUGGAAUUCUUGGUGUAGGGGUAAAAUCCGUAGAGAUCAAGAGGAAUACUCAUUGCGAAGGCGACCUGCUAGAACAUAACUGACGCUGAUGCGCGAAAGCGUGGGGAGCAAACAGGAUUAGAUACCCCAGUAUC